RNAcentral lists this ribosomal RNA (1712 nucleotides) under Vibrio cholerae. Its description in RNAcentral is "bacterial LSU rRNA". It matches the Rfam family "Bacterial large subunit ribosomal RNA", at positions 1255 to 2925 of the family's 2925-position model. The record is from RNAcentral. Lineage: Bacteria; Pseudomonadati; Pseudomonadota; Gammaproteobacteria; Vibrionales; Vibrionaceae.
GGUGAAUCGUAAGGUUUGCUGGAGGUAUCAGAAGUGCGAAUGCUGACAUGAGUAACGACAAAGGGGGUGAAAAACCUCCUCGCCGGAAGACCAAGGGUUCCUGUCCAACGUUAAUCGGGGCAGGGUGAGUCGACCCCUAAGGUGAGGCCGAAAGGCGUAAUCGAUGGGAAACGGGUUAAUAUUCCCGUACUUCUGACUAUUGCGAUGGGGGGACGGAGAAGGCUAGGUGGGCCAGGCGACGGUUGUCCUGGUUCAAGUGCGUAGGCUUGAGAGUUAGGUAAAUCCGGCUCUCUUUAAGGCUGAGACACGACGUCGAGCUGCUACGGCAGUGAAGUCAUUGAUGCCAUGCUUCCAGGAAAAGCCUCUAAGCUUCAGAUAGUCAGGAAUCGUACCCCAAACCGACACAGGUGGUCGGGUAGAGAAUACCAAGGCGCUUGAGAGAACUCGGGUGAAGGAACUAGGCAAAAUGGUACCGUAACUUCGGGAGAAGGUACGCUCUUGAUGGUGAAGUCCCUCGCGGAUGGAGCUGACGAGAGUCGCAGAUACCAGGUGGCUGCAACUGUUUAUUAAAAACACAGCACUGUGCAAAAUCGCAAGAUGACGUAUACGGUGUGACGCCUGCCCGGUGCCGGAAGGUUAAUUGAUGGGGUUAGCGCAAGCGAAGCUCUUGAUCGAAGCCCCGGUAAACGGCGGCCGUAACUAUAACGGUCCUAAGGUAGCGAAAUUCCUUGUCGGGUAAGUUCCGACCUGCACGAAUGGCGUAAUGAUGGCCACGCUGUCUCCACCCGAGACUCAGUGAAAUUGAAAUCGCUGUGAAGAUGCAGUGUACCCGCGGCUAGACGGAAAGACCCCGUGAACCUUUACUACAGCUUGGCACUGAACAUUGAACCUACAUGUGUAGGAUAGGUGGGAGGCUAUGAAGACGUGACGCCAGUUGCGUUGGAGCCGUCCUUGAAAUACCACCCUUGUAUGUUUGAUGUUCUAACUUAGACCCAUUAUCUGGGUUGAGGACAGUGCCUGGUGGGUAGUUUGACUGGGGCGGUCUCCUCCCAAAGAGUAACGGAGGAGCACGAAGGUGGGCUAAUCACGGUUGGACAUCGUGAGGUUAGUGCAAUGGCAUAAGCCCGCUUAACUGCGAGAAUGACGGUUCGAGCAGGUGCGAAAGCAGGUCAUAGUGAUCCGGUGGUUCUGUAUGGAAGGGCCAUCGCUCAACGGAUAAAAGGUACUCCGGGGAUAACAGGCUGAUACCGCCCAAGAGUUCAUAUCGACGGCGGUGUUUGGCACCUCGAUGUCGGCUCAUCACAUCCUGGGGCUGAAGUCGGUCCCAAGGGUAUGGCUGUUCGCCAUUUAAAGUGGUACGCGAGCUGGGUUUAGAACGUCGUGAGACAGUUCGGUCCCUAUCUGCCGUGGGCGUUGGAAGAUUGAAGGGGGCUGCUCCUAGUACGAGAGGACCGGAGUGGACGAACCUCUGGUGUUCGGGUUGUGUCGCCAGACGCAUUGCCCGGUAGCUAAGUUCGGAAUUGAUAAGCGCUGAAAGCAUCUAAGCGCGAAGCGAGCCCUGAGAUGAGUCUUCCCUGAUACUUUAAGUAUCCUAAAGGGUUGUUCGAGACUAGAACGUUGAUAGGCAGGGUGUGUAAGCGUUGUGAGGCGUUGAGCUAACCUGUACUAAUUGCCCGUGAGGCUUAACCAUACAACACCCAAGGGGUUUUGUA